UACGGAGGGUCCAAGCGUUAUCCGGAAUCAUUGGGUUUAAAGGGUCCGUAGGCGGUUUUGUAAGUCAGUGGUGAAAGCCCAUCGCUCAACGGUGGAACGGCCAUUGAUACUGCAAGACUUGAAUUAUUGGGAAGUAACUAGAAUAUGUAGUGUAGCGGUGAAAUGCUUAGAUAUUACAUGGAAUACCAAUUGCGAAGGCAGGUUACUACCAAUACAUUGACGCUGAUGGACGAAAGCGUGGGGAGCGAACAGG
This 253-nucleotide ribosomal RNA is filed under the name uncultured bacterium. RNAcentral's name for it is "partial 16S ribosomal RNA". It matches the Rfam family "Bacterial small subunit ribosomal RNA", at positions 524 to 776 of the family's 1533-position model. The record is from RNAcentral.